Molecule: long non-coding RNA, 826 nt
Filed under: Capra hircus (goat)
Lineage: Eukaryota; Metazoa; Chordata; Mammalia; Artiodactyla; Bovidae
Description: lncRNA (ENSCHIG00010025206.1)
Source: RNAcentral
UCAAUUGCGAGCUGUAGCAAUAUCAAAGUGAACUGUCCCAAGUAACUCUUGUCUAGAAGCUGGGAAGAAGCUUAAGCAGCUCGCUUUAAUGAUGAUUUGUAGCUCGGCGAGGGGCACGGACAGCAAACACCCCGCAGGUGUGUGCCGUAACACCACCAUCCGGACUUGAAUGUAGAUUACUCUGGCGAUCGUUUGAUCGGCCCUUUGAAACCCUUCACAAUUGCCUGUGACGAACGGCCAGUCUCAGUUUUUCUCGGAAUAAUGCCUAGAGGAAAUCAGAAUUCAACUUGGAGAAAGUGGAAGAGUGGCUUCAACUGUGAACUCAAACUUUAAUAGCUAAAUCAGCCACCUAGGUGGGCUAUGAUUGAUAAUGGAAACCGAAGCCUUAAGUUUACAGAUAAAUCACGAAACAGACAGGCAUGCAGAAGUAACUAGACGUCCAACACAUGCCAAAGUCUUGCGGGCCCAGGAUUUCAAACAAAAGAAAACUCGGGUAACGUGACUGUAAAUCAAGGGCGCUUGAGACCAUAGACAUGCGCACCUAGAAGGGUUAAUCGGCGGAGGGGGAGGAGAGAGGCUCCUCCCGCGGUCUGUGUUGAGUCAGACUGCAGAAAGAGAACCAGAGCUCCAGCGGGCUAGUGGGAGCCCGGCGGUCCUGCACCGGGCGCGGUCCCCCUGCUAGGGGGCUGGGGUGGCGCGGGGCUGGGGCGGCGCAGGGCUGGGGCAGGGCACCACCUGGGAACCGCGGACCCGGCUGCGACCUGCGCGCCCCCUGCCCACCUCUUGGUGCGUCUACUUUUUUAUUGCCUGCAAGUCAUCUUGCACG